Molecule: small nucleolar RNA, 72 nt
Filed under: Choloepus hoffmanni (Hoffmann's two-fingered sloth)
Lineage: Eukaryota; Metazoa; Chordata; Mammalia; Pilosa; Megalonychidae
Description: Small nucleolar RNA SNORD112 (ENSCHOG00000015809.1)
Source: RNAcentral
UGGAUUAGUGAUAAAAAUGUAUCAGGAACCAAAGAUUAUGAAUCAUCUAGUUUUGUAUACCCGGGGACCAUA